UACGUAGGGUGCGAGCGUUAAUCGGAAUCACUGGGCGUAAAGCGCGUGUAGGCGGCCCUAUAAGUCUGGUGUGAAAGCCCGGGGCUUACCCCCGGAAGUGCACUGGAAACUGCAGGGCUAGAGUACCGGAGAGGAAGGUGGAAUUCCUGGUGUAGCGGUGAAAUGCGUAGAUAUCAGGAGGAACACCGGUGGCGAAGGCGGCCUUCUGGACGGAUACUGACGCUGAGACGCGAAAGCGUGGGGAGCAAACAGG
RNAcentral lists this ribosomal RNA (253 nucleotides) under uncultured bacterium. RNAcentral's name for it is "partial 16S ribosomal RNA". It matches the Rfam family "Bacterial small subunit ribosomal RNA", at positions 524 to 776 of the family's 1533-position model. The record is from RNAcentral.